Long non-coding RNA from Diceros bicornis minor, 1197 nucleotides. RefSeq lists it as uncharacterized. NCBI's taxonomy places the organism in Eukaryota, Metazoa, Chordata, Mammalia, Perissodactyla, Rhinocerotidae. The record is from RefSeq and is a predicted model, not a curated record. The transcript has 3 exons.
CUCCACCCACUCCUUGUGCACACCCUGCCCCGCUAAAGGCGGCUCAGUUGCCAGGCUGCAGAGAAUCCAGUCACCAAUCUAUGCAGGCCCACACGUUGCCUGAGGGCUUGUUGCUGGGUGGGGCCAGUCUCUAGGGUGGGCUGCCUGCCCUGGCUGAGCUGGAUUAAAUCGGUGUUCUAGCGGGUGGGGCAGACCCUGGGCUAGCAGGCCUCAGGGAGAACUCCAAUGGCGUCUGUGUCAGCACGCCCACAUCAGGCCACAACAAUGGCCGCCGCCAAUGUCCCAGUCCCUGGAGAGGUCUCACCCCUCACCGAGAUGCACUCAGGGCCUAUUAGGGAUCAUCAUCUGGAGGCAGGGGACAAGGCUGCUGGCUCUGCCUGGACAAGGCAGCAGCUGUUGAGGAGUCCGGCAGGAAAACAAGCAAACCAACCAACAGCAAGGACACCCAAGGAGAAGUCCCUGAUCUGCUAGGAGAAAUGGAAGCAGCGAACAUGACACUACCAUCUAUGGCUAAGUCACUCUUUGGCAACAAGUACUUAGGAAGAAGACUUCUCUCUCUGCCCUUCUGAGCACAGGGGUCAAGGGCUCUGGCCGAACAUGGGACAGACACAUGACCUUUACCCUCCACAGAGCUCCAGCUGUCACCUUUACCUGAGCCUUCGAUUUCCUUCGUUCUUUGGACUCAUUGUGUCUCAGGAGGCAGAGAACCCAUGGGAAGCACUCAAAUUCAAGGUUGCAAUCAUAGCCUGCCGCUUGUCACACCCCAAACCCCACAUCUCCACCCUUAACCUAGAAUUCCAACUCACAAAUUAUUCAUUUAUAUUACAAUUGCAGUACACAAAAUGAUAGACUUGUAUCCUUCUGAAGGAUGAUGCAGCUGUCUAAAGGACUUACUGCAUGGUACUCACAACCCAAACGACUCCUUAUUUGUCCAAAUUAUGUUUUCUUUAUGGAUGAUAAAUAGAUUUUAAGCCCCACUUUGAUAUCAUGAGACGAACUGAUUAACACUUUAAACAAUGGAUAAGGUGAUUUGUAAUCUGGAUGCUUAGUCUAUAUUAUGUAAAUCUAAAUCCAAAUAACCAGAGUUUCUAUGUGGAAAAGGACUUUGCUUGACCCUCUAAACUAUAUAAUAAAAAUUACUUGAGGAACACUGAAGAGGACUUACAGGGGAAAAUACAAAUGAUAAGAAGAGGCAGC